This 236-nucleotide ribosomal RNA is filed under the name uncultured bacterium. Its description in RNAcentral is "partial 16S ribosomal RNA". It matches the Rfam family "Bacterial small subunit ribosomal RNA", at positions 15 to 236 of the family's 1533-position model. The record is from RNAcentral.
GAUCCUGGCUCAGGACGAACGCUGGCGGCGUGCUUAACACAUGCAAGUCGAACGGAGAACUUUCUUCGGAAUGUUCUUAGUGGCGAACGGGUGAGUAACGCGUAGGCAACCUGCCCUCUGGUUGGGGACAACAUUCCGAAAGGGAUGCUAAUACCGAAUGAGGUCCUCUUUCCGCAUGGAGAGAGGAUGAAAGAUGGCCUCUACUUGUAAGCUAUCGCCAGAAGAUGGGCCUGCGU